UAACAAGGUUUCCGUAGGUGAACCUGCGGAAGGAUCAUUAAUGAUGCCCUCGAAGUCUUUGGACUGGUAGGGUUUGUGUCGGUCUCUUCGGAGUCGACCUUAUCUCACACACCGUGAACUGUGGCUUCGGCCAUUUACACAAACUGUUAGUAAUGAAUGUAAUAUCAUAACAAACAUAAAACUUUUAACAACGGAUCUCUUGGCUCUCGCAUCGAUGAAGAACGCAGCGAA
Molecule: unclassified non-coding RNA, 231 nt
Filed under: uncultured fungus
Lineage: Eukaryota; Fungi
Description: partial contains 18S rRNA, ITS1, 5.8S rRNA
Rfam family: 5.8S ribosomal RNA (bases 180-231)
Source: RNAcentral